GAAUUUUGGACAAUGGGCGAAAGCCUGAUCCAGCAAUGCCGCGUGCAGGAUGAAGGCCUUCGGGUUGUACACUGCUUUUGUACGGAACGAAAAGCUUUGGGUUAAUACCUUGGAGUCAUGACGGUACCGUAAGAAUAAGCACCGCCUACCUACGUGCCAGCAGCCGCGGUAAUACGCAGGGUGCAAGCGUUAAUCGGACUUACUGGGCGUCAAACGGGCGCAGGCGGUUUUGUAAGACAGAGGUGAAAUCCCCGGGCUCAACCUGGGAACUGCCGUUGUGACUGCAAGUCUAGAGUACGGCAGAGGGGGGUGGAAUUCCGCGUGUAGCAGUGAAAUGCGUAGAUAUGCGGAGGAACACCGAUGGCGAAGGCAACCCCCUGGGCCUGUACUGACGCUCAUGCACGAAAGCGUGGGGAGCAAACA
RNAcentral lists this ribosomal RNA (423 nucleotides) under uncultured bacterium. RNAcentral's name for it is "partial 16S ribosomal RNA". It matches the Rfam family "Bacterial small subunit ribosomal RNA", at positions 359 to 774 of the family's 1533-position model. The record is from RNAcentral.